RNAcentral lists this ribosomal RNA (266 nucleotides) under uncultured bacterium. RNAcentral's name for it is "partial 16S ribosomal RNA". It matches the Rfam family "Bacterial small subunit ribosomal RNA", at positions 29 to 286 of the family's 1533-position model. The record is from RNAcentral.
AGUGAUCGCUGGCGGCGUGCUUAACACAUGCAAGUCGAGCGAAUUCUGACAGUGUAUCGUCAGAGUUAGCGGCAGACGGGUGAGUAAUACUUGGGCAAUCUGCCCUCGAGAGGGAAACAACCUGCCGAAAGGUGGGCUAAUGUCCCAUAAGACCACAGGAAUGCAUAUUCCAGAGGUCAAAGCUCCGCAAGGGGCGCUUGAGGAGGAGCCCGAGUCCUAUCACGGUAGUUGGUGAGGUAACGGCUCACCAAGCCUUUGACGGGUAG